RNAcentral lists this ribosomal RNA (217 nucleotides) under uncultured bacterium. RNAcentral describes it as "partial 16S ribosomal RNA". It matches the Rfam family "Bacterial small subunit ribosomal RNA", at positions 118 to 351 of the family's 1533-position model. The record is from RNAcentral.
UGGGAACGUGCCCAAAGGUACGGAACAACUCCGGGAAAACUGGAGCUAAUACCGUAUGUGCCCGAAAGGGGAAAGAUUCAUCGCCUUUGGAUCGGCCCGCGUCUGAUUAGCUAGUUGGCGGGGUAAUGGCCCACCAAGGCGACGAUCAGUAGCUGGUCUGAGAGGAUGACCAGCCACACUGGGACUGAGACACGGCCCAGACUCCUACGGGAGGCAG